UCCUACGGGAGGCAGCAGUGGGGAAUUUUCCGCAAUGGGCGAAAGCCUGACGGAGCAAUACCGCGUGAGGGAAGACUGCCUAUGGGUUGUAAACCUCUUUUUUCAGGGAGGAAUCAAUGACGUGUACCUGAAGAAUAAGCAUCGGCUAACUCCGUGCCAGCAGCCGCGGUAAGACGGAGGAUGCAAGUGUUAUCCGGAAUCACUGGGCGUAAAGCGUCUGUAGGUGGUUAAGCAAGUCAACUGUUAAAUCUUGAGGCUCAACUUCAAAAUCGCAGUCGAAACUGUUUGACUAGAGUAUAGUAGGGGUAAAGGGAAUUUCCAGUGGAGCGGUGAAAUGCGUAGAUAUUGGAAAGAACACCGAUGGCGAAAGCACUUUACUGGGCUAUUACUAACACUCAGAGACGAAAGCUAGGGUAGCAAAUGGGAUUAGAUACCCCAGUAGUCCUAGCCGUAAACAAUGGAUACUAGAUGUUGAACAGAUCGACCUGUGCAGUAUCAAAGCUAACGCGUUAAGUAUCCCGCCUGGGAAGUAUGCUCGCAAGAGUGAAACUCAAAGGAAUUGACGGA
RNAcentral lists this ribosomal RNA (567 nucleotides) under uncultured bacterium. Its description in RNAcentral is "bacterial SSU rRNA". It matches the Rfam family "Bacterial small subunit ribosomal RNA", at positions 337 to 917 of the family's 1533-position model. The record is from RNAcentral.